AGUGAACGCUGGCGGUAUGCCUAACACAUGCAAGUCGAACGGCAGCACAGGAAGUGCUGGCUCUUACGGGUGUCGAGUGUCGGACGGUGGAGUUAUACUUCGGAUUCUACUUUGUCGUGGGUGCUAAUGUCGGGAAACUUACUCUAAUACCGCAUAUGACCUACGGGUGUAAGCAGGGGUUCUUCUGACCUUUUGCGAGUGUAUGAGCCGAUGUCGGCUUAGCUAGUUGGCGGGUUAAAGGCCCACCAAGGCGACGAUCCGUAGCUGGUCUGAGAGGAUGAUCCGCCACACUGGCAGUGAGACACGGUCGAGACUCCUACGGGAGGCCGCAGUGGGGAAUAUUGGACAAGGGAGGAGAGGCUGAUACAGGACUACCGCGUAGGUGCAGAAGGAGUUAGGGUUGUAAAGUCAUUUUGUUGGGAGAGAAAAAAAGCAGGUUAAUACGCCGCUGUUAUGACGGUACCGAAAGAAUAAGCACCGGCUAACUUCGUG
RNAcentral lists this ribosomal RNA (492 nucleotides) under uncultured bacterium. RNAcentral's name for it is "partial 16S ribosomal RNA". It matches the Rfam family "Bacterial small subunit ribosomal RNA", at positions 29 to 507 of the family's 1533-position model. The record is from RNAcentral.